RNAcentral lists this ribosomal RNA (2919 nucleotides) under Enterococcus durans. RNAcentral describes it as "bacterial LSU rRNA". It matches the Rfam family "Bacterial large subunit ribosomal RNA". Lineage: Bacteria; Bacillati; Bacillota; Bacilli; Lactobacillales; Enterococcaceae. The record is from RNAcentral.
AUAAGGUUAAGUGAAUAAGGGCGCACGGUGGAUGCCUUGGCACUAGGAGCCGAUGAAGGACGGGACUAACACCGAUAUGCUUUGGGGAGCUGUACGUAAGCUAUGAUCCAGAGAUUUCCGAAUGGGGAAACCCAACAUCUUUUAUAGGAUGUUACGUUUGCGUGAAUACAUAGCGCAUUCGAGGUAGACGCAGAGAACUGAAACAUCUAAGUACCUGCAGGAAGAGAAAGAAAAUUCGAUUCCCUGAGUAGCGGCGAGCGAAACGGGAAAAGCCCAAACCAAUGAGCUUGCUCAUUGGGGUUGUAGGACUCCAAUAUGGUAGUUCUUUCAGAUAAUCGAAUGACUUGGAAAAGUCAGUCAAAGAGGGUAAAAACCCCGUAGAUGAAAUUUGGAAGGCACCUAGGAGGAUCCUGAGUACGGCGGAACACGAGGAAUUCCGUCGGAAUCCGGGAGGACCAUCUCCCAAGGCUAAAUACUCCCUAGUGACCGAUAGUGAACCAGUACCGUGAGGGAAAGGUGAAAAGCACCCCGGAAGGGGAGUGAAAUAGAACCUGAAACCGUGUGCCUACAACAAGUCAAAGCCCGUUAAUGGGUGAUGGCGUGCCUUUUGUAGAAUGAACCGGCGAGUUACGAUUGCAUGCGAGGUUAAGUCGAAGAGACGGAGCCGCAGCGAAAGCGAGUCUGAAUAGGGCGUUUGAGUAUGUAGUCGUAGACCCGAAACCAUGUGAUCUACCCAUGUCCAGGUUGAAGGUGCGGUAAAACGCACUGGAGGACCGAACCCACGUACGUUGAAAAGUGCGGGGAUGAGGUGUGGGUAGCGGAGAAAUUCCAAACGAACUUGGAGAUAGCUGGUUCUCUCCGAAAUAGCUUUAGGGCUAGCCUCGGAUUUGAGAAUGAUGGAGGUAGAGCACUGUUUGGACUAGGGGCCCAUCUCGGGUUACCGAAUUCAGAUAAACUCCGAAUGCCAUUCAUUCAUAUCCGGGAGUCAGACUGUGAGUGAUAAGAUCCAUAGUCGAAAGGGAAACAGCCCAGACCACCAGCUAAGGUCCCAAAAUAUAUGUUAAGUGGAAAAGGAUGUGGGGUUGCACAGACAACUAGGAUGUUGGCUCAGAAGCAGCCACCAUUUAAAGAGUGCGUAAUAGCUCACUAGUCGAGUGACCCUGCGCCGAAAAUGUACCGGGGCUAAACAUAUUACCGAAGCUGUGGAGUACACCAUGAGGUGUAUUGGUAGGAGAGCGUUCUAAGGGCGUUGAAGGCAGAUCGUGAGGACUGCUGGAGCGCUUAGAAGUGAGAAUGCCGGUAUGAGUAGCGAAAGACAGGUGAGAAUCCUGUCCACCGAAUGACUAAGGUUUCCUGGGGAAGGCUCGUCCGCCCAGGGUUAGUCGGGACCUAAGCCGAGGCCGACAGGCGUAGGCGAUGGACAACAGGUUGAUAUUCCUGUACUCGUUGUUUUUGUUUGAGCAAUGGAGGGACGCAGGAGGCUAAGGAAUGCAGACGAUUGGAAAUGUCUGUCCAAGCAGUAAGUCUUGAUAGGAGUCAAAUGCUUCUGUCUACACGGAUAAGCUGUGAUGGGGAGGGAAAUAAUAGUACCGAAGUUCCUGAUGUCACACUGCCAAGAAAAGCUUCUAGUGAGAAAACAAUGACCCGUACCGCAAACCGACACAGGUAGUCGAGGAGAGAAUCCUAAGGUGAGCGAGAGAACUCUCGUUAAGGAACUCGGCAAAAUGACCCCGUAACUUCGGGAGAAGGGGUGCUGAUCUUCGAUCAGCCGCAGUGAAUAGGCCCAAGCGACUGUUUAUCAAAAACACAGGUCUCUGCAAAAUCGUAAGAUGAAGUAUAGGGGCUGACGCCUGCCCGGUGCUGGAAGGUUAAGAGGAGUGCUUAGCGUAAGCGAAGGUACGAAUUGAAGCCCCAGUAAACGGCGGCCGUAACUAUAACGGUCCUAAGGUAGCGAAAUUCCUUGUCGGGUAAGUUCCGACCCGCACGAAAGGCGUAACGAUUUGGGCACUGUCUCAACGAGAGACUCGGUGAAAUUUUAGUACCUGUGAAGAUGCAGGUUACCCGCGACAGGACGGAAAGACCCCAUGGAGCUUUACUGUAGUUUGAUAUUGAGUGUCUGUACCGCAUGUACAGGAUAGGUAGGAGCCGUAGAAAUCGGAACGCUAGUUUCGAUGGAGGCGCUGGUGGGAUACUACCCCUGCGUUAUGGCCACUCUAACCCGCACCACUAAUCGUGGUGGGAGACAGUGUCAGAUGGGCAGUUUGACUGGGGCGGUCGCCUCCUAAAAGGUAACGGAGGCGCCCAAAGGUUCCCUCAGAAUGGUUGGAAAUCAUUCGAAGAGUGUAAAGGCAGAAGGGAGCUUGACUGCGAGACCAACAAGUCGAGCAGGGACGAAAGUCGGGCUUAGUGAUCCGGUGGUUCCGCAUGGAAGGGCCAUCGCUCAACGGAUAAAAGCUACCCUGGGGAUAACAGGCUUAUCUCCCCCAAGAGUCCACAUCGACGGGGAGGUUUGGCACCUCGAUGUCGGCUCGUCGCAUCCUGGGGCUGUAGUCGGUCCCAAGGGUUGGGCUGUUCGCCCAUUAAAGCGGCACGCGAGCUGGGUUCAGAACGUCGUGAGACAGUUCGGUCCCUAUCCGUCGCGGGCGUUGGAAAUUUGAGAGGAGCUGUCCUUAGUACGAGAGGACCGGGAUGGACUUACCGCUGGUGUACCAGUUGUUCUGCCAAGGGCAUUGCUGGGUAGCUAUGUAGGGAAGGGAUAAACGCUGAAAGCAUCUAAGUGUGAAGCCCACCUCAAGAUGAGAUUUCCCAUUUCUUUAAGAAAGUAAGAUCCCUGAGAGAUGAUCAGGUAGAUAGGUCAGGAGUGGAAGGCCAGUGAUGGUUGGAGCGGACUGAUACUAAUCGAUCGAGGACUUAACCAAA